Molecule: ribosomal RNA, 92 nt
Filed under: Uroplatus guentheri
Lineage: Eukaryota; Metazoa; Chordata; Lepidosauria; Squamata; Gekkonidae
Description: partial large subunit ribosomal RNA
Source: RNAcentral
AAGAGUCCUUAUCGCCAAGGGGGUUUACGACCUCGAUGUUGGAUCAGGACAUCCAAAUGGUGUAGCCGCUAUUAAGGGUUCGUUUGUUCAAC